Molecule: microRNA precursor, 171 nt
Organism: Medicago truncatula (barrel medic)
Lineage: Eukaryota; Viridiplantae; Streptophyta; Magnoliopsida; Fabales; Fabaceae
Rfam family: MIR2619 microRNA precursor family
Source: Rfam
AAACAGCCCCCUAUGUUUUGAUUCUUUGGCAGUUUUGGACCCUCAAGGCAAAUAAAAAAUAAAAAAUUUGACAUGUGGCACCUCAUUUAGGGUGCCACGUCAGCGUUGACCGAGUCAACAAUGGACUGAGGGUCCAAAACUGCCAAAGAAUCAAAACAUAGGGGGCUGUUU